CCUGAUGCAGCAACGCCGCGUGAGGGACGACGGCCUUCGGGGUUGUAAACCUCUUUUUAGUAGGGAAGAAGCGAAAAGUGACGGUACCUGCAGAAAAAGCACCGGCUAACUACGUGCCAGCAGCCGCGGUAAUACGUAGGGUGCAAGCGUUAUCCGGAAUUAUUGGGCGUAAAGAGCUCGUAGGCGGUUUGUCGCGUCUGCUGUGAAAACUGGAGGCUCAACCUCCAGCCUGCAGUGGGUACGGGCAGACUAGAGUGCGGUAGGGGAGAUUGGAAUUCCUGGUGUAGCGGUGGAAUGCGCAGAUAUCAGGAGGAACACCGAUGGCGAAGGCAGAUCUCUGGGCCGUAACUGACGCUGAGGAGCGAAAGCAUGGGGAGCGAGCAGGAUUAGAUACCCUGGUAGUCCAUGCCGUAAACGUUGGGAACUAGAUGUAGGGACCAUUCCACGGUUUCUGUGUCGCAGCUAACGCAUUAAGUUCCCCGCCUGGGGAGUACGGCCGCAAGGCUG
RNAcentral lists this ribosomal RNA (507 nucleotides) under uncultured Actinomycetes bacterium. RNAcentral's name for it is "bacterial SSU rRNA". It matches the Rfam family "Bacterial small subunit ribosomal RNA", at positions 382 to 896 of the family's 1533-position model. Lineage: Bacteria; Bacillati; Actinomycetota; Actinomycetes. The record is from RNAcentral.